UGGGGAAUAUUGCACAAUGGGCGAAAGCCUGAUGCAGCAACGCCGCGUGAGUGAUGAAGGUCUUCGGAUUGUAAAGCUCUGUCUUUUGGGACGAUAAUGACGGUACCAAAGGAGGAAGCCACGGCUAACUACGUGCCAGCAGCCGCGGUAAUACGUAGGUGGCGAGCGUUGUCCGGAUUUACUGGGCGUAAAGGGUGCGUAGGCGGAUGUUUAAGUGAGAUGUGAAAUACCCGGGCUUAACUUGGGUGUUGCAUUUCAAACUGGAUAUCUAGAGUGCAGGAGAGGAGAAUGGAAUUCCUAGUGUAGCGGUGAAAUGCGUAGAGAUUAGGAAGAACACCAGUGGCGAAGGCGAUUCUCUGGACUGUAACUGACGCUGAGGCACGAAAAGCGUGGGUAGCAAACAGGAUUAGAUACCCUGGUAGUCCACGCCGUAAACGAUGAGUACUAGGUGUAGGAGGUAUCGACCCCUUCUGUGCCGCAGUAAAACACAUUAAGUACUCCGCCUGGGAAGUACGAUCGCAAGA
Molecule: ribosomal RNA, 524 nt
Filed under: uncultured bacterium
Lineage: Bacteria
Description: partial 16S ribosomal RNA
Rfam family: Bacterial small subunit ribosomal RNA
Source: RNAcentral